Anolis sagrei ordinatus is the source of this 805-nucleotide long non-coding RNA. RefSeq lists it as uncharacterized. NCBI's taxonomy places the organism in Eukaryota, Metazoa, Chordata, Lepidosauria, Squamata, Anolidae. The record is from RefSeq and is a predicted model, not a curated record.
CAUUAAGUAAGUGCCCUUAAUCAGCUUUUCAGUUCAGUUUUAUUGGUUGCACCACAGUCAGUUAUUUCAUCCAGAAAAUCUGAGGGCCCUACAAAGCUAAGCAGGUAUGCAUCCCCAGAAAUUACUUCAGUAAAGAUUUGUCAUGGAAAAACCCAGUAGAUGCCACAGCCAGAGGUCUCGCUUUGCCUGCGACUACAUAAGGCCUCAAGAGAGACUGAAGUGGAGAUUUUAAAACUAAGAGUAUUUCUCCAUGUGUCAACAACAGAGGGUAAAAUGGAAUUACAUCACUGCAACAUCAGCUACCUCCUAUUGACAAAGAGAUUUCUGAAAGCUGCUGUGAUCAAGUUGUUCUCUUUGAUGCAUUUUAUUGUACCUUCCUUAUCUCCCCCCCUCCCUUAGUUUUUCAUUAUUUCUGGAUAUCUUCUUCAGUAAAUGUUACCCCUACCAUACCUAAGAUGGUAUCAGUUUAAUCUUAUUUUAAUGGUCAUGGCUAUAUCCUAUGGAAUUCUAGAAUAGGUAAUUUGAUGAGGAAAUUAGGACUUCGUCACACUAGAGUAGCUUCCACUUUAAAUUGGGUUGCUGCCUCCUCCAAAAUUCUGGGGCUUGUAGUUUAGGGAGGAGCCUUUAAACUGUUCAGCCUGAGGGGUCCUGGGCCUCACCAAACUACAAACCCCAGUAUUCUGCAGGAGGCAGCAACUGGAUUUAAAGUGGAUAGAUGCUCUGGUGUGAUUAGAUUCAUCCACUAGAGAAUUCUAAUCUAAGCAAACGGCAAACAUAAAUAUUUAUUAAUUACUUUUAAAAAAAA